Oncorhynchus kisutch (coho salmon) is the source of this 799-nucleotide long non-coding RNA. RefSeq lists it as uncharacterized. The record is from RefSeq and is a predicted model, not a curated record. Lineage: Eukaryota; Metazoa; Chordata; Actinopteri; Salmoniformes; Salmonidae. The transcript is spliced from 5 exons.
ACUGACGUUGAGCCCCAGUCAUUCUCAGUGGUAGUGACUAGAGGAAGAUCAUUUAAAAAAAAAAAAAAACAAGAUCCUGAAUAUUACUAAAGAGGACUUUCUCCGAGUCGUUUCGCCACUCGCUUUAAAUCUGGAGCAGCAGAAUCUGGGGCGGAGGACCCCUACCUGACAUGGGGGGGGGGGUGGGGGGGUCUGAGGUGGCGGCAGACAGAGAGAGACGGAGGAAGAAGAAUCCAGGAUUUACAGUCAAUACAGAGGUCACUAGUUUAAUGGCUGGAAGGUAGAGGUCAAAGAGGGACAUAAUGACCUCCAUUCCGUCGAUGGACAGGCACAUACAGCAGACCAACGACCGUCUGUUAUGUAUCAAACAGCACUUACAGAACCCUGCCAACUUCCAGACGGCAGCGACAGAGCUGCUGGACUGGUGCGGUGACCCCCGGGCCUUCCAACGACCCUUUGAGCAAAGCCUGAUGGGAUGUCUAACGGUGGUGAGCCGGGUGGCAGCGCAGCAAGGUUAUGACCUGGACCUGGGGUACAGGGUCCUAGCAGUGUGUGCUGCCAACAGAGACAAGUUCUCUCCCAAAUCAGCAGGUAGGACAAGGUCUUCCUUCUUGUUGUUGAGAAGUGACAGCAGAUCGACUGGGGCGUAUUCAUUAGAAACAAAACGGAACGAUUUGGCUUUCUGUUGCGUAACAUUUUGCUUUGGGUGUGCUCUAAUGAAUGCGAGCUACUAAUUAACAGAAACUAGUAGCAUUUAGCGUUAGCAUUAGCAGGCAACAUUUAAAAAAAAAAAAAAAAA